CACGUAGUUAGCCGGUGCUUCUUAUCUAGGUACCGUCACAAAAAGCUUCGUCCCUAGCGAAAGGAGUUUACAACCCGAAGGCCUUCAUCCCCCACGCGGCGUCGCUGCAUCAGGCUUGCGCCCAUUGUGCAAUAUUCCCCACUGCUGCCUCCCGUAGGAGUCUGGGCCGUAUCUCAGUCCCAAUGUGGCCGUACACCCUCUCAGGCCGGCUACCCGUCGCCGCCUUGGUAGGCCAUUACCCCACCAACAAGCUGAUAGGCCGCGAGCUCAUCCUACACCGAAAAAACUUUCCAACCACCACACUAAAGAUGGUUCCUAUCCGGUAUUAGACCCAGUUUCCCAAGCUUAUCCCGAAGUGCAGGGCAGAUCACCCACGUGUUACUCACCCGUUCGCCACUCGAGUACCCUGCAAGCAGGGCCUUUCCGUUCGACUUGCAUGUGUUAAGCACGCCGCCAGCGUUCGUCCUGAGCCAGGAUCAAACUCU
RNAcentral lists this ribosomal RNA (485 nucleotides) under uncultured Corynebacterium sp. RNAcentral describes it as "partial 16S ribosomal RNA". Lineage: Bacteria; Bacillati; Actinomycetota; Actinomycetes; Mycobacteriales; Corynebacteriaceae. The record is from RNAcentral.